GGGGCAGUAGCUUAGCGGAUAGAGCCCUCGCUUGGUAUGCGAAAAGACCCGAUUCAACUCCCGGCUGCUCCG
RNAcentral lists this transfer RNA (72 nucleotides) under Toxocara canis (dog roundworm). It matches the Rfam family "tRNA". From Rfam's summary of the family: Transfer RNA (tRNA) molecules are approximately 80 nucleotides in length. Their secondary structure includes four short double-helical elements and three loops (D, anti-codon, and T loops). Further hydrogen bonds mediate the characteristic L-shaped molecular structure. tRNAs have two regions of fundamental functional importance: the anti-codon, which is responsible for specific mRNA codon recognition, and the 3' end, to which the tRNAs corresponding amino acid is attached (by aminoacyl-tRNA synthetases). tRNAs cope with the degeneracy of the genetic code in two manners: having more than one tRNA (with a specific anti-codon) for a particular amino acid; and 'wobble' base-pairing, i.e. permitting non-standard base-pairing at the 3rd anti-codon position. Lineage: Eukaryota; Metazoa; Nematoda; Chromadorea; Rhabditida; Toxocaridae. The record is from Rfam by way of RNAcentral.